UACGUAGGGGCCGAGCGUUGUCCGGAUUUAUUGGGCGUAAAGAGCGUGUAGGCGGCCGCUUAAGUCCUGCGUGAAAUCUCGGAGCUCAACUCCGAGCGGUCGUGGGAAACUGGGCGGCUAGAGUGCGGGAGAGGAGAGUGGAAUUCCUGGUGUAGCGGUGAAAUGCGCAGAUAUCAGGAAGAACACCUAUGGCGAAGGCAGCUCUCUGGGACGGUACUGACGCUGAGACGCGAAAGCGUGGGGAGCGAACAGG
This 253-nucleotide ribosomal RNA is filed under the name uncultured bacterium. Its description in RNAcentral is "partial 16S ribosomal RNA". It matches the Rfam family "Bacterial small subunit ribosomal RNA", at positions 524 to 776 of the family's 1533-position model. The record is from RNAcentral.